GGAGGUUAUCUGUCAUUUUGUUCGUGUGAAAUGAACGUUUAUUCCGGACAUUAUUUGAUUAACGCUUCACGGUUCAUACAAUCCGAAAGGAGCCUCAGCUCGUCACAGGAUAUUACGACAAAGUAAAGCAUCGUUUGAAGCUUGAACUGAACGAUGAUAACCAUUUUAUGAUACGUUAGUUUUUAAUAGUUUUCGUACUAUAAAUUUGUACUAUUAAACGAAUAAUUGGUCAGUCGGGUAUUAUAAUAUGAUUGCGUUACGAUGGCAGUUCCAGCUGUAGUAUUGGCAAACAAGGCGAUGAUCGAAGAAGUGAAAAUCAAAGACGCAUGUAUUGGUUACGAUAUCGAUGCGUUUAUUGAAAAAUUCAGACCAGAUAAAGCAAGUCCAAAGAUAAAUAUUCAUGCGCGAAAGAUACACCUCUUAUUCACAAUGAAAAUGUUUUUUGAAUUUUUAGAAAUAAUAAAAAUGAAAUUUUACCAAAUAUAUUGCACGUCAUCGGCAAUACACCUUUGGUGAAGUUAAAUCGAAUACCUCAAGCAGAGGGCAUUGAAUGCGAGAUUUUUAAUGGCAAAAUGUGAAUUCUAAAUCCCGGUGCUAGUACUAAGAGUAGAAUCGGAUGGAAAAUGGUUGAAGAUGCUGAA
Molecule: long non-coding RNA, 641 nt
Organism: Acyrthosiphon pisum (pea aphid)
Lineage: Eukaryota; Metazoa; Arthropoda; Insecta; Hemiptera; Aphididae
Exons: 4
Source: RefSeq, a predicted model, not a curated record